UUCAAACUUUUAACUUUACUCAUCGCCGGAAUCUUUAAAACAUAAUUCAUCAACUGUAUAUUCACUAUACCCCACUUCAUGUGCUUCUAUGCUAUUAUAGUUACUUUACAAAAUAAUAGUAAAGCUACAUCUCGUAUUCAAAAAGAUUAUUUCUAUUCAACAUAAUUACUGGGUAUAACAACAUUUACACUACUCAAUUAAAUCACUUUACAGCAAGUAGCCUCAGCUCGGUACAGUCUAAACUUGAUGAAGCAAUACAUCUUUAAUACUCAUGUCUCAUCACAAAUCUUCGUUGUUAUGACCAUCUGAUAAAUCAACAUUUAUCUGCAUAAUUGUUUGCAAGAUUGAGCACUACGACCCAACAAGUCUAACAGUUUUCAUGCUUCACACAGCACAUAAUAUCAUGCUUAUAUCAUAUCUCAAGAUUAUUAUAAUUUAAGUAACAUUUGUAUUUCACACAUAUUAAAUAUCAAAUCAAGACUGAGUUUUAAAAACUCAAUCAAAUUUAGUCAAUAGUUGACUUUCAUCAUUCCACAAGUAUAACAUGUAAUCCAUGUAAUCAUGUCAAAUUCAUAUAACAAAUAGGAACAGGAAAACUUGACUUUUUGAUGCGAAGCUAUUAAUUUUACGCGAUUACACGUAUUCGAGGUAUUAUGCUCCUGUAUAGCACCAAUAUACACAUAAUGUUAUUACAAUGUUACAUUACCAUAUUCUACAAAUUCUAUUUAAAUUUGUGUUUUGCAAGUCUAAUAUCUCAUUCUUAACUUCUCUUAUUUUAAUAAGUUUGCUACAUAUGUAUGUGGUAUAAAUCUUAUUAGCUUUUACUAGGUUAAUAAACCAACCCACUUAUUUUUCAAAUACUUCAUCCAUGCUUAAAUGUGAAUUUUUUUAUUGGUACCUCAUUGAAUACAAAGAUAGGAAAAAAUAAAUACACCUUCGAUUAAACAAGGCUAGCUUUUCCUUGUAUAAUCAAAAUAUAACACAUUAGUUACAACAUGCCUCCUCACUUCAUUUGAGACUAACUAUAUUAACUUAAAAAUCUUUCAGUUUGUACAACUAAUUAUAAUCGAACCCCACACUUUUCAACUUUAUACUUUUAUAAUCUUAAGUUCUUAAGAUUUUACAAUGUUUUAGAUUAAUUAACUAAUCCUUAAUCCGUUUCUGAAUUUAUUUCAUCAUGUCGUUGCUAUUUUGCAUUAUUAAUGUCGUGCAUAUUACUUUAUGUAUUAAAGCUUAUUGCUUAACAUGAAACACAUUCCAUAAUUUCAACUCAACUCGAACAUAUUAAGAUUAACAACUGAAUUCUAAUUUAUCAACCAUAUUGGGUUCAAUUAAUGGUCCAAUUAUAAAUUAAUUAUAUAUUAUUAUAUAUCUUAACUCUUUUAAUGCUCAACAACACCCACAAUCAAAAUCAAAACGCAAGGCGAAACGCUGCCCGACAGCUGGUUGCCAGGCGUCUACCCAUGUGUUGCACGCUGCUAGGCCAACUACCUGGUGCAGCUGCUGCCCUGCCCCCAACUCCGCCUUAUCAUAAUGGUUACUUUGUGAUUUUAAAACUUUAAAUCUACAUUUUCAUUAACCUUCAAACUUGGGCAGCAUUAAGAUUGUAUAACUCUUCUAAUUUGGGCAUCCUAGACAGGUUAAACAGAGGGCUAAAACUGCCUUGUCAAAACAGUUUUCAAUUUUUUUUCCCAACUGUACCCUCUCUUGCUCAAACAGCCAUAACUUUUUAGUUUCAAAACAUUUUUGAGCGAUUCUUGAGCCCACGCGAAGCUAACUUCCGGGACUACAACUCCUAUUUAAUAACCUUUUCCAAAUUUUGCACCCAUAAUUCCAGAAAAUUCUUGUAAGGGGCUGCUUCGAAUCUGUUUUCCAGAUUUGGGCAGUUUCGACGCACCCACUUUGGCACAUCUUAACUCAGUUGUCCGAACUCAGAAUUAGUCCGUUCCAAAGGUUAUGGCUAUCUGGGAUUGCACACUACUAGACCCCAGAAACUUAAAAUUUCCCAGAAAAUAUAACUAUCCGAAACAGUUAGCCAAAUGUAGUCCAACACACUAACUUUUAAAAUUUUCGUUUUGGCUUAAAAUUGCUUUUCGUUCUAAUUCGAUUUACCCAAACUCUUUAAUUAUUUAUAUAUAACAUAUAUGCAUAUAUCUUGAGUCUUAGCUCUUCCUAAUUAGGAGUUUUUAGGCAAAAUGGCCCUUUUAGGACUUUAAUCGAACACGUCGUGUGCGACUCUAUAAUGGGUUGAGAUCAUGUGGUUUUGUUUUUGUUUCAUUCCCAUUUCGUCAUCCUUAUAACUCCGCACAACAAUUACUAAACUCCAUGGUUCUAAUAUCAAUCCACUACAACCAAUACACAAAGAAAACUAUACAUACUAUCUAUUUCAUAAAUUAGUUUACUAACUUUGAAACUUUGAACAAAUUUCAUUCCUUUAGUUUCUAAAACAUACCUUAUAUUAUAAACUUCAUUGAGCUUAGUUACCAAUUGAUUUCGUAGCCCAUUCACAUACAAAUUAACUAUUUAACUAAUUAUCUACAUAUACUAACUAACUGAUUCAAUUUAUCAUGAAUUUCAUAAAAAAAACAUAAUACAUACUAAUAUAUACCUUUCUUGCUUAGUUAUGGUUUCACUAUCUUUUAUGCUUUAUUCCAGCUGCCCAAUCAAUUCUUGAAGAUUCUAUUUUCGUUUUAGCCGAACAGAGUGGGAUGGAAUUACGCACGGAUGGACUGAGGAUUGAAAGGGAAAGUGGCGGGUGGAGUUUGGCCAGGAAAGAGUAGAAAAUUUUAGUUUGGUUUUGAAUUUAUAGCAACCCUUUCCUUGUUCCCCAAAAAUUUUGCUUGACAUUACGUAUAAGGAUUUUUGAAUUUUAAGCGCCAACUCCUACUUAAUAAAGUUUUUGUUUAACACAGCUCAUGUUUUAUCUCUUACUGACUCAGCUGCUUGUUUUAUUUUCCCCGACUCUUAUAUUAUUUCCUCUUUUUUCUCUCUAAACUUAGCCAAUUUGGCUUAAAAAUAAAUAUAAGUAAAUUUUAAUUUUGCUUAUAUAAAAACUACUUUCAAUUUUUAUAAGUUGGCCAACUUAAGUCUUCUCUAGUCUUCCCCCUAGUCUUUUAAAGCUUGCAAAUCACCCUUGAUAUAUUCUUAGCAUAUUCUCAGAAUAUUCUUUAUUCCUUAACAUAUUCCUUAAAAUAUUUUCUUAAGUUUCAAAUUUUAAGUUUUUAACCCUAAGGUAUUCUUAACUCGCACAAUUCCCCCUUAACUUUUAUAAUUCACUUCCAUACUUUAUUAAGUUAUUUAAUUACCCAAUCUUAGUAACUUAAUUUAAUUAAAUAAGUUACUACAUAAAUUUCCUUAAUUUAUUUUACUCUCUCGGAAUUAUAUAAUUUACAUAACCCAUCUUUGAUAUAUAAAUUAUAUAAAAUAUAACAUAACAUAUUCAAAUUAAAUAUUUAUUUUAUAAAUGUAAAAUAAAUAUGCUACACAUAAUUUCUUAUGUAAAUAGAAUUAUUAACAUACCCAAGAUAUUAUAAUAUAAUAUCCUUACUUCAUUAUCAUAAAUUCAAUUAAGAAUUUAUUUAUUUUCUUAAGAUAUUAAGCUAAAUAUAAUAUCUUUUCUUUAUUAAAUUAAUUUUAUAUAUGAAUUUAUUCUAAUAGUCUUGGGUAAAGUAUAUAUAAAUAUUAUAUGCUUAACCCGUCUCUUUUUGCCUCAUUACUCAAAUUGUUCCCAAUAAUUUUAUUUCUCUGUGUAAUAUAUAUAUAUAUAUAUAUAUAUAUAUAUAUAUAUAUUAACUUGCAAAUAUUCUUUAUAAUGCACAUGUACUCACAUCACAUAUAGAAAAUAAAUAAUAAAUUUAUUCUCUCACCUUAUAAAUUGUUUAUAUCAAUUUAUUUAUAUAUAGUAAGUAUAACUUAAUAUAUUUACCUUAUAAAUGGAAAUUUAUUCAGUAAAUAAGAUAUUAUAAUUAAAAUAAUAUCUUUUCUUUAUUAAAAUAAUUCAACUCUAGAAUUUAUUUUAAUAUCAUUUAUUUAAAGUAUACAAUAAUUCUUGUAUAUUAAUUACUUUGUUUUCCCUUCUAUAAAUUGUUUUCAACAAUUUAACUAUAAUAAAUAUAAUAAUAUAAUUACUACAUUAAAACAUACAUACCUUACGUCCAAUAAUGUAAUACAUGAUUUCUUCAAUAAAAGGGUGGUUAUACAUUAAGUAUAUAUUUAAUGCCACCAAUUCACCACAUUAAAAUAAUUUAAUAUUAUAGAUUAUUUUAAUUCUACCCAUCUCAUUUCCUUUAAUAAAUUGCCCUUACAAUUUAUUUACAUAUAAUAAAUAUAUAAUACCAAUAUAUUUAUUAAGCAUAAACAUCACAUAUUGCAUAGUUCAUACCCACUUAUGCAAUAUAAUAUCAUACAACAUAUUAUCUAAUAAGAAUUUUAUUUAUUUAAUUCUUAUUUUAAUAUUACCCAAAAAUUUGGGUUAUCACAUUUUUCCCCCUUAUAAGGAUUCCGUCCCCGAAAUCAUAAUACCGAAUCCUUCUUAAUCGGUUUAGAUCAUAUUCUUUCUCGUCACAUUAUCGUUGAAUCAUUUCAACGUACCAUUUCCUUAGAUUUUUUCAAAAUUUAAAAUAAAUCAUCUAUUUUCACUCUAGGUUUUAAACUUUAACCUUUCAUUUAAUCAUUCAAGAUUUUUCUAAAUUUUUGGGUUGUCGCAUUCACCCUUUCUUCUAAGAAUUUUGUUCCUGAAAUUAUAGUCUACUAAUCUUUGCUUCUUCUAUUCACCGAAAAUAGGUUUUCAAUUUAACCUUUACAUUUUCCUCCUCUGAGGAUUUCUCAUCUAUCAUCUCAUUCAACCAUUUCUACCCGUUUGAAGAAGUUAAAAACUUUUCAUAUUAUGCUGAGGGGUCAUAUAGACCAUGAACUCUCAAGUUUAACGGUAUUCACCGCAAUCAAUUAUGUAAACAUGUUGUACUAGGUGAUCAACCUAGUACAGAUACGAGUACGUUAGGUGAUCAGCCUAUUGUACCCUACGUCCUGCACAACAUAUCAAUCUUAUUUAACGACUAUUUGCGCUACUAGAUUGGAUUAUUUUAUCCAAUCGGGAUUGUUCACCUCAGACUUAGCAUAAGAUUCCGUACCAAAACAAUUUGGUUCGGGAUAAAUUCUCAAAGAAUACUUGAAUUUUCAUAAACAAUUUCGUAGCUGAAUCAAAUAGCUUAGACGCAUAUCAAUAAUUCGAACAUCAAUCGAAACAUUUGUCUAGCCACUAUAAUUGACAUUGACUUUUCUUUAACUAGUCUAAAAUUCUGAAAAUCAUUUUAUGAUGUCAUGAUACCGCACUGUAUUUACAGUUCGUUUGAGAAUUCCGUCAUUUGUUGAUUUUAUCAUACUACAUCAUACCAUAGUGGGCUGACGAUCCUUAGAUCACAUCCAACACUAAGUAAUACUGCAUUGUUGACUCCAUCGUUUUUAUCAUCUCUGCACUAGGUUCCAUGAUGCAUUGAUGAUAUAUAAAAUAUAUUUUGAUAUAUUUCAAAUCAUUUUUGUCUAGCCAAAGCAAUUAGCAUAGACUCUUCUUUAAUGGUUCAAAACCAUUGAAAAUCAAUUUUAGUGUUAUCAUGUCGUAACAGAUAAUGAGAUGUUAGUGGUUCACAGUCCACAUACACACCUUUGUCACCGUAUGUUAUUGAUAACAAAAUUUAUUUUUAAAGGCACCAUAGUGCGAAUUUAGCUUGAUGUCAAAAAUUUUGAAGUCUAGCAUAGCUAGAAGAUUUGGAAUACAUAUGCUUCCACCAUCAACUUCAAUUUCUCUAAUGAUCCAUUGCUUAAUAAGUCUAUCUAUUCUUAUCAUCCUCAAUACUCCAUUCAUACUUAGUUAUACCCCAGUUCAUCAAACUUACUACACUUUGAAAAUCCAGGAACUUGCCAUAAUCAUAUGAGUUUAGAAACUUAUCCUAGUCAGACCAUAGGCGUCCAUUCGUUGAGGGGUUCAAAACAUAUCAUAUGAUUAUGAGUCACGAACUUACCAUAUGCAUUAGUUUUAAGAACCGUACCUAAUCUUAAUAUCAUCUAACCUAAUCUUGUUUUCUCUACCUAUCCGUUAUACACAUGAGAAAAGAAUCACCUUCUCAACAAGUAUAUAGUAAAUAGCGCGACACAAACAUUUCAAUGAUUAUCACUGCCAGAAGCUAAGUGGUUGUUACACCAAGUACAAUUCCCCGCCCAUACAAAGAAUCAUACAACUUAGCUGCUGACACAAGUUCUCAAUUGAAAUCCCACCGAAUUCUAGCUUCCCCUUACUCAAUACAAAUUUUAUUUAAUCCGUAUCUCAUUAUCUACAACUCUUUUCUGAGUUUGCAUAGUACCAUUUCAUAGUACAUUCUCUUUAUAGUGUCAUGCUAUAUCAUUCCAAUCAUUUCAUAGAUUUUUUGCUAUUCAAUCUGAUCACGCCGUGAUCUUAUCUUAUAAUCGUGUUAUAUUACGGUUCUCUUAUAUCUUAUGAUCGUUUUGUUUUACGAUCUCCUUUCCCUUUAUACUUUUAGUCUCAUAGACUCUAUCUAUUCAUUAUUACUUUUUGUCUUUAACAUCAGAGUUAGGUAACUCUAGAUCUUUAUAACUUUUUAAGAUUCUUCUUUGAAUCUUAUUUACUAAAUAAUGAAUUUUCCAAAUUCAUCUCUUAACAAAUUAAACCCUAUUUGAGUUUAUUCCUUAUCCUUAUCACUAUGGUUAUAGCCUAAGGUACACCUACCUAAGGUUUAUAACUUACAACUUUGAUACCAACUGUAACGCCCCCAAAAUCGGGACUAUUUUUUUCUCGAUCUUGUGCGUUAAUAUUAUCUUGUUCUAGCUUUAAAACAUUAUUUAAUGUUAAAAUAGCUAAAAAUAUGGAAUAAUUUUUUUUUUCUUUCCAUUCAUUCAUUCCCUGAAUCGCAACCUUUACAAUUCUUCUUUAUAAUAGAAUCAUAUUUAUUUUAUGAUUUAUUUUAUCAAAGUAACAUAUGAAUAUAUACAACUCACCUCUCUUCAAACAAAUAUUCCUUAUUCAAUAAACAUUUCAAACUGUACAUAGUUGUCUUUUAGUCAUAUCUAGAAUCAUGAGAAUCUUCAUCUAUAUUUCUCUACAAUUUCUAAAUAAAGAAGAGAUACCCUUUGUACGUCUUCCAAUCGUUAUCAUCUGGUCAGCUAUAGAUCAUAUCACAUUUCAAACAUGCAAAAAUAUAAUUUUUGCAACUCUAUCAUAUCUUGAAUCUAUAUCAUGAUUCAACUUGUAUAUCACAGUCAAUAUCAAUAUAGAUAUACAAAUUUAGUUAUUAAAAUUUUCUUAGUUCCAGAAUUCGCAGCUGUUAUAAUCUAUACUCAUAUUCAGGAUUAUAUAAAUAUAAAGACCCAUUCCGAAAAGUCUCAUUUGAACAUAAGGUUCAAACUUUUAACUUUACUCAUCCCGGAAUCUUUAAAACAUAAUUCAUCAACUGUAUAUUCGCUAUACCCCACUUCAUGCACUUCUAUGCUAUUAUAGUUACUUUACAAAAUAAUAGUAAAGCUACAUCUCGUAUUCAAAAAGAUUAUUUCUAUUCAGCAUAAUUACUGGGUAUAACAACAUUUACACUACUCAAUUAAAUCACUUUACAACAAGUAGCCUUAGCUCAGUACAGUCUAAACUUGAUGAAGCAAUACAUCUUUAAUACUCAUGUCUCAUCACAAAUCUUCGUUGUUAGGACCAUCUGAUAAAUCAACAUUUAUCUGCAAAAUUGUUUGCAAGAUUGAGCACUACGGCCCAACAAGUCUAACAGUUUUCAUGCUUCACAUAGCACAUAAUAUCAUGCUUAUAUCAUAUCUCAAGAUUAUUAAAAUUUAAGUAACAUUUGUAUUUCACACAUGUUGACAUUGUCAUAUUUCAUCCUUAUGUUUUGAUGAUGAAAUGUUUAAAUACUAAAUUGUUUUAUGAUGUUUCAGGUAUUUGUUGAUAAAACAACAUUGACGGAAUUUUCAAUUAGACGAAGAACUUUUUCUUUCUAGGAAAACAAAUGUAAGAUCAAUUGCAUAAUAAUUGAUUUUUCAUUUAAAGGCUAUAGGACAUAUUAUUUGCGUUAUAUUUUGUUAUAUGUCUUAAAUGAAAAAUGAUUUAAAAAGAAUUCUUAUGAAAAAGGUUUUUCUAAAAAUAAUAUAUCACUUAAAAUAUUAGCUUGUAUGUCUAAUAGAUUACAUAAGUGAUAUAUGGGUGAUUAAUUGAAAUGCUACACGUGGAUAUCUAGAGGUUGUCAGCUAUACUUUAUGAUUUGUUGCACGUGCAUAUCCGGUUGUGAUAUGAGUACUUCAUGCUUGCUAACCAUUUAUUGUGAUAAGAUGUUUGUGAGAGUUUCAAGGAGAAAUAAUUAUGGGUAUCUUGGAUUUUUAAAAGACCUUGAUUCUUGAAAAAGAUAUGGAAUGGUUCACUCCACUAUUUCACACGUCACAUACCACUUUAUGAGAUAAAGUCAAAGAUUGUUUUUAAGUGGGUUACUUGAAUAGGCUUUGGAAAUCAUAUAUAGAGUAUUACUUGUGGUGGCAGGAGUUAUGAUGACAAAGACAUAAAUGCAAGAACUCUAUUUCAGAUAAUCAGUCAAACAUAUAUCUGUUAUAUAAGAGUUAUUUUCGGAUCUAUUUCAAACUGAUUAUUUUUUAUCCGAGUAAAAAGCUUUUAACGAAAAUAAUUCUGGAACAUCACUUAUCUUAAAUUCUGUUGGCAACGUAAAUAAAUUUACAACGGAUCUUUGCAUACAACAGAAAUAUUUUUAGCUAUAAAAGAAGUACUGAGAUCAGUGUUUGGUACACAACUCACGAAAAUAUUUCUUUCACUUAUUACUGUUAUUAUCGAGCAAAUUGAUUUUGUCAAUGCAAUCUUUGAGAAGCUAAGCAAUUAAAUUUCUGAUAUUAUUUGAGCUGGUAUUUGGUAAGAAAUUAAUUGUUUAUUUAUUUUGUGCUAAUUGAUCAUUGCAUAUAGUUGAGCCUUUAAUUGUUAAAUUGAUUAUUUUUGUAUUGAUCAUAGACCUCUAUAUUUGUAUUGGAUUUUUAUUUAGACUAAGUGUAGUCUAAAGGUGUUAAUCCUAGUGGAUUAGAGAAAAGGGUUACAAACAGGUUCAAGGAAGCAAAGGUGCUUGAAGAGUGCAUAGGUGCAUAAGGAGCAAGAGAGCUCAAGAGAAAAUUAAGUGUUAAUUAAUUUUUGUUAGAAUCUGUUUUGUAAUCUGUAUUUAUUUAUAAAGAAAUAAAUAAAGUGAGUCUCCAAUACUAGUUGGUAUUGGGCGUGGACUAGAUUAUUAUUAUAGAGGGUAAUAGCUGAACCACGUAAAAAAUCUUGGUAUUGAUUUUAUUAUUUGCUUUACUUUAAAAUCACAUAAGCUAUUUUAAUUAUCUUAAUAAUUAAAAUUUGAAUACUUAUAUUAUAUUAAGAUAUCUCUUUAACAUAAAGUAUUUUACUUAAGAUAUAAAUUCAGUAGGAUAUUUUCUUUAAUAUGCUAUAUUAAUUCAGUAAGCUGAUUUCAAUCAUUAUAGUAGCCUGAAGUUAAUAAUUUAAUUUAAAGUUUAAAAGUUGGUCAUAGAUUGCUCCCACACUUAUUCAACCCCCCCUUCUAAGUGUGCCUAGAUAAAUUUCAACACAUAUCAAAUAUCAAAUCAAGACUGAAUUUUAAAACUCAAUCAAAUUUAGUCAAUAGUUGACUUUCAUCAUUUCACAAGUAUAACAUGUAAUCCAUGUAAUCAUGUCAAAUUCAUAUAACAAAUAGGAGCUGGAAAACUUACCUCUUUGAUGCGAAGCUAUUAAUUUUACGCGAUUACACGUAUUCGAGGUAUUAUGCUCCUGUAUAGCACCAAUAUACACAUAAUGUUAUUACAAUGUAUAACAUUACCAUAUUCUACAAAUUCUAUUUAAAUUUGUGUUUUGCAAGUCUAAUAUCUCAUUCUUAACUUCUCUUAUUUUAAUAAGUUUGCUACAUAUGUAUGUGGUAUAAAUCUUAUUAGCUUUUACUAGGUUAAUAAACCAACCCACUUAUUUUUCGAAUACCUCAUCCAUGCUUAAAUGUGAAUUUUUUUUAUUGGUACCUCGUUGAAUACAAAGAUAGACAAAAAUAAAUACACCUUCGAUUAAACAAGGCUAGCUUUUCCUUGUAUAAUCAAAAUAUAAAACAUAAGUUACAACAUGCCUCCUCACUUCAUUUGAGACUAACUAUAUUAACUUAUAAAUCUUUUAGUUUGUACAGCUAAUUAUAAUCGAACCCUACACUUUUCAACUUUAUACUUUUAUAAUCUUAAGUUCUUAAGAUUUUACCAUGUUUUAGAUUAGUUAACUAAUCCUUAAUCCGUUUCUGAAUUUAUUUCAUCAUGUCGUUGCUAUUUUGCAUUAUUAAUGUCGUGCAUAUUACUUUAUGUAUUAAAGCUUAUUGCUUAACAUGAAACACGUUCCAUAAUUUCAACUUAACUCGAACAUAUUAAGAUUAACAACUGAAUUCUAAUUUAUCAACCAUAUUGGGUUCAAUUAAUGGUUAAAUUAUAAAUUAAUUAUAUAUUAUUAUAUAUCUUAACUCUUUUAAUGCUCAACACCCACAAUCGAAAUCAAAACGCAAGGCGAAACGCUGCUCGACAGCUGGUUGCCAGGCGUCUGCCCAUGCGUUGCACGCUUCUGGGCCAACUACCUGGUGCAGCUGCUGCCCUGCCCCCAGCUCCGCCUUAUUAUAAUGGUUACUUUGUGAUUUUAAAACUAUAAAUCUACAUUUUCAUUAACCUUCGAACUUGGGCAGCAUUAAGAUUGUAUUUCAUAGUAUUUUAGAAAAAUAUAACUCUUCUAAUUUGGGCAUCCUAGACAGGUUAAACAGAGGGCUAAAACUGCCUUGUCGAAACAGUUUUCAAUUUUUUUUUCCAACUGUACCCUCUCUUGCUCAAACAGCCAUAACCUUUUCGUUUCAAAACAUUUUUGAGCUAUUCUUGAGCCCACACGAAGCUAACUUCCGGGACUACAACUCCUAUUUAAUAACCUUUUCCAAAUCCUGCACCCAUAAUUCCAGAAAAUUCUUGUAAGGGGCUGCUUUGAAUCUGUUUUCCAGAUUUGGGCAGUUUCAACGCACCCACUUUGGCACGUCUUAACUCAGUCGUCCGAACUCAGAAUUAGUCCAUUCCAAAGGCUAUGGCUAGCUGGGAUUGCACACUACUAGACCCCUGAAACUUAAAAUUUUCCAAAAAAUAUAACUAUCCAAAACAGUUAGCCAAAAGUAGUCUGACACUAACUUUUAAAAUUUUCAUUUUGGCUUAAAAUUGCUUUUCGUUCUAAUUCGAUUUACCCAAACUCUUUAAUUAUUUAUAUAUAACAUAUAUGCAUAUAUCUUGACUCUUAGCUUUGCCUAAUUAGGAGUUUUUAGGCAAAAUGGCCCUUUUAGGACUUUAAUCGAACAUGUCGUGUGCGACUAUAAUGGGCUGAGAUCAUGUGGUUUUGUUUUUGUUUCAUUCCCAUUUUGCCAUCCUUAUAACUCCGCACAACAAUUACUAAAAUCCAUGGUUCUAAUAUCAAUCCACUACAACCAAUACACAAAGAAAACUAUACAUAUUAUCUAUUUCAUAAAUUAGUUUACUAACUUUGAAACUUUGAACAAAUUUCAUUCCUUUAGUUUCUAAAACAUACCUUAUAUUAUAAACUUCAUUGAGCUUAGUUACCAAUUGAUUUCGUAGCCCAUUAACAUACAAAUUAACUAAUUAACUAAUUAUCUACAUAUACUAACUAACUGAUUCAAUUUAUCAUGAAUUUCAUAAAAAAAAACAUAAUACAUACUAAUAUAUACCUUUCUUGCUUAGUUAUGGUUUCACUAUCUUUUAUGCUUUAUUCCAGCUGCCCAAUCAAUUCUUGAAGAUUCUAUUUUCGUUUUAGCCGAACAGAGUGGGAUGGAAUUACGCAUGGAUGGACUGAGGAUUGAGAGGGAAAGUGGCGGGUGGAGCUUGGCCAGGAAAGAGUAAAAAAUUUUAAUUUGGUUUUGAAUUUAUAGCAACCCUUUCCUUGUUCCCCAAAAAUUUUGCUGGGCCAUUACGUAUAAGAAUUUUUGAAUUUUAAGCCUAUACUUCCUUCUUCAUGCCAACUCCUACUUAAUAAAGUUUCUGUUUAACACAGCUCAUGUUUUA
This 12126-nucleotide long non-coding RNA is filed under the name Panax ginseng (ginseng). RNAcentral describes it as "long non-coding RNA (PGIN_LNC004110)". Lineage: Eukaryota; Viridiplantae; Streptophyta; Magnoliopsida; Apiales; Araliaceae. The record is from RNAcentral.